GAUGAACGCUGGCGGCGUGCCUAAUACAUGCAAGUCGAGCGAACGGACGAGAAGCUUGCUUCUCUGAUGCUAGCGGCGGACGGGUGAGUAACACGUGGAUAACCUACCUAUAAGACUGGGAUAACUUCGGGAAACCGGAGCUAAUACCGGAUGAUAUUUUGAACCGCAUGGUUCAAAAGUGAAAGACGGUCUUGCUGUCACUUAUAGAUGGAUCCGCGCUGCAUUAGCUAUUUGGUAAGGUAACGGCUUACCAAGGCAACGAUGCAUAGCCGACCUGAGAGGGUGAUCGGCCACACUGGAACUGAGACACGGUCCAGACUCCUACGGGAGGCAGCAGUAGGGAAUCUUCCGCAAUGGGCGAAAGCCUGACGGAGCAACGCCGCGUGAGUGAUGAAGGUCUUCGGAUCGUAAAACCCUGUUAUUAGGGAAGAACAUAUGUGUAAGUAACUGUGCACAUCUUGACGGUACCUAAUCAGAAAGCCACGGCUAACUACGUG
RNAcentral lists this ribosomal RNA (497 nucleotides) under uncultured bacterium. Its description in RNAcentral is "partial 16S ribosomal RNA". It matches the Rfam family "Bacterial small subunit ribosomal RNA", at positions 28 to 507 of the family's 1533-position model. The record is from RNAcentral.